Molecule: long non-coding RNA, 1018 nt
Organism: Amphiprion ocellaris (clown anemonefish)
Lineage: Eukaryota; Metazoa; Chordata; Actinopteri; Pomacentridae
Exons: 3
Source: RefSeq, a predicted model, not a curated record
GUGAAUGUUCUUAAGAAACAUUUUUAAUAUUUCUUUUUUUCCACCAAAAAAGUUCAAAGAUUUCCCAAAAAUGUUGAAAAUGUGGACAUCAGAAGUUUCACUGUGAAAAUAUUUUUUUUCCCCACAUUUUCAAACUUUAAAACGGGUCAUUUUUGACCUGCAGUUUUGACACGAGGGUUAAUAAACAUGCUGUGUUAUUACUAAAAUGCAGAUCUCUGUGUUUUUUGUUUUACUUUAUUCUGAGCGUAGGCCAUGGUGCCGUCAAACGUCCCCUUCUCAGACUGGAGGUCGUCCACGUUCAGCUUCUGUGUGAGCAUACCGCCCGACGACACCGUGACCUGGAGGGAAAAACAGCAGCAAAUGUUUUUAAUAAUGCAAAAUAAAGAUGAACCAUCUCAUUUCUGCUCACCAGCACAUGGAUCUUGUUGUUCUGUGAGAAGCUCUGAGCAAACUCCCAAACCUGUCUGGCACUCGACAUGUCGACGAUGUGGACGUGGACGUUCUGGGAAGAGAAGAAAACAGAAGAAAGUGUAGUUUGACUUUUUACAGCACCAGAUCGUCAUCUGCCCACCGCUGACCUUCUGAUCAGACGUUUCCACUCAGGAACCAAACAACAACGUCCAGAGAAUGAAGUUCAGGUUCCCACAGGAAAACUUCUUUAACAGGUAUAAUAAGAGUUAAAACCCUUCUUCUGAGGCGGACAAACAGAAUAAUAAACUCACCUGGUUUUUACUCUGUUCCACUAUUUCAUUUCUGGCUGCUUCUGCUCGGUCUUUGUUCCUACACACCAUGUGAACGGUUCCUCCUGCAGAAAUGAAAAUACAUCAGAGGCCCAGCCAGGAUUCACUUUUCAUUUUUUCCCUUAACUACUGUAAUAUGGUGUUUAAAACUGCAGUUCAAAGCGUUUUAAAUUCAUAUAUGAAGGAGAGAAUUGAGGCUGAAACAGCUGCCGAAGUUAGAAUGAAAUAGAAAAAUGCAAACACGAAGUGCUUUAACCCUCAUGUCGUCCUGUGGGUCA